RNAcentral lists this long non-coding RNA (4241 nucleotides) under Oreochromis niloticus (Nile tilapia). Its description in RNAcentral is "lncRNA (ENSONIG00000032028.1)". The record is from RNAcentral. Lineage: Eukaryota; Metazoa; Chordata; Actinopteri; Cichliformes; Cichlidae.
AUGGAUUUAAUGCGACAAAAAGCGACUGUGGCCCCUCGGACCCUCCAGCGGAGGCAGGGUGCUGUGGCUGGACGGGCCCCUCGGACCCUCCAGGCGAGGCAGACCAAGGCUGGACAGGCCCCUCGGACCCUCCAGGCGAGGCAGAUGAAGGCUGGACAGGCCCCUCGGACCCUCCAGGUGAGGCAGAUGAAGGCUGGACAGGCCCCUCGGACCCUCCAGCGGAGGCAGACGAAGGCUGGACCGGCCCCUUGGACCCUCCAGCGGAGGCAGACGGUAACUGAGCAGGCGACUGAGCUGAGAGGUGAAUAAGGAGCAAAACAUUGGUGCAUGGAUCAGGACCUGAUGACACCAGACUCAUUAAAUUUACAUGGGUCCACAAACAUGAAGACUGUUUCUCCACCUCCCAGAGCAAAUGGAAGAAUAGACUAAGGCUGACCAGAGUAAGUAAUCAGCUCUCCGUAAGGAAAACAACAGUGAUGUUGGCCACACUAACACCUAAUGAAAGUACAGUACUAAGUUGAAGAGAAUGUGUUGCACUAGGCUACAUAAAGUUAAUUUUGACUUAAUACCUAAAAUACUAAACAGAUGAAUUGCAGAUGAAAUAGUGGAAAUGAGCCGAAACAGAUUACUGGGAAACUGUUAGAUGUUAGAAGGUUAAACUCAUUUGCUGACCAAAUAGUACAGAUAUAUUCAUGUUGCUAAUAACGAUUCAAACACUUUUUACAAUAUAUGACAUAUUUGCUAUAAAAGCAAAGUCACAGUCUGAAAAUAAAAAGGUGGGGUUUUUUUGUUUGGUUUUUUAGGUGAAUUAACAUCAACACACCUUUAACGGAGGAGGUUAAUAAGCUGGGUAUUGGUAUAUAACUUAAGUGAAUACCUCCAGGGCUGAAUAAUGAGUAGUUUCUUCAGUAGCCACUUGAGGCUGGCUCCAGAAACGAAUCAGUUACUGCAGACUCCAGUGUGCCUUUUAGUAAAACUGUAUAGUCCGUCACUCUUAUUUGGAGUCAGUUCAACUGGUUAAGCCUUUGAGAAAGGCUUAACUUGCAUCACCAGCAGUUAUUUUACCCUUCAUUUCUUGAAGUCAUUGAUUAUAAUUGACUCUCAGAGGUCUCUGCUACUUCACUGUUAGUCAAUUCCUGCAUGGACGUCCUUCAAGACCGAGUCUGAUAGAUACAUAAAUCUAGAAAUUUACAGAACUUUAGAACCUUAACAGUACAAUGUUUUUAGACAAUUGUUGCAGUAUUUCACUGUGGUAGUAUUUCAAAAUGUCUGAAAUCAUUUUUUUGUAAUUGCUUUAAUUGAUUUCAUGUUUUUGUUCUUGAAGAUCUUCUCGGAAGAAUAAAAGUACAUCCAAAUUAUUAGAGCCUUUUUCUGUGAUUGAUGCAGUUGGUGAACUUUUGCAAAUGUAACAUUCCCCCUGCCUCAUUGCUAAGAUGGAUACUAACCAGAAAUGGCUCUUUUAGACAACAAAUGAACAGCCCCGUGUUCCCAAUGUAACAUUUUGUACUGUGUGUCUUUAAACUUGGUCAAAUCCACUGCAGAGAAACAGCUUGCUCUUAUGGUUAGACCAUUAUAAGUCAGAAUUUUGGUUUAGAUGGUCACAGCUAGAAUGUCUGCUAAAUUAAACAAGAUGUGCUGGUUGGCCUUACAGUAAAAAAGAGAAGUAUUUGCACAGCUGGGCACUGAGCCGUUAAAUCUCCUGAAUAUUGGAUCAUUCCUGCACUGUACUUUUUUUGUUUUUCUAUUUAUUCCAGCCAGAAGGCAUCAAGGUAAAGUACUCCAUCAGUGAAUUAUUGGAUUGUUUGGAGAGAGAGAUGGAGAGAGGAGAAGAGAAAGUGCUCUGCAGAUUUCUCAGUAAAGUUGCCAGCUGAGAACUUAUCUACUCUGCUUUGGGAAAGUAAUCAAUUUCUGCCUUUUCUGCUAGAAAACAAGUCCACACUUUUCUACUGCAGAUUUAUUGGGAUGCUUGACCAUACUUUAAGAAGUUCUGCCCACUGUAAGUGUAAUUUAGCAUUUUUUCUGCUAUAAUUUUUGGAUUGGCAUUAUAUUAGGGUCAAUUGAACCUACUGUAGUUUAAUGAAAUGGCAAAUGAUUAAAAAGAAGAAGACUUGAACAUAAAUAUUACCUGCUAUAGUGCUGUAUUCUGCUUUGGUUUUCCUUUUUCUCUCAUGUACUGCCCAUUUCCCUCCUGAUGGGUCGUCUACUGCAUCAUUCAACUUUCCUCAUGAGGUGCAAAAGUACAAAGUCUAAUCUAAGGAGCUUGGAAAGAAAAGUGUUGGGACACUCCGAUACGGCUUAAAACCUGGGACUCUCCACCAAUUGCGCUUAGAACUGAAGAAGCUUCUUGGAUGAGAGGUGAAACGUCUUCAAGAAAACUUACAGAAGUCCAGACGCUUUUCUUUCCAAGCUCCUUAGACUACGACUGAGACCCUUCACAGACACACAAAGGCUAAUAAUGGAACAUUAGUCAACAUUGGUGGGCCACCUUUAAAUUUGAUAUAAACGAUGGGGCAUGACUACAAUAAAACUACUCACUGUUUAAAUUUGGGAUAACAUAAAGAAAGAUCUGUGAUCUUCUGCUGCUGUAGCCCAUCUGCCUUGAGGUUUGACAUAUUGCUUGUUAGGAGAUGCUCUUCUGCAUACCUUAGUACAACAAGUGGUUAUUUACUGUUGCCUUCUAAUUAGUCUUUUUAGAUAGCAUUUUAAUUAUGGCACAUUGCUGCUAUUUCAUAUUGCUGAUGUUGAAGCCCUUGUAGAGUUGUUGUUUUUUUUACCUUUUGUUUUUCUACCCAGAAAAUCUCAUGAGCAUCUAUUUCUAGUGUGUGAAUGUCAUGUGGAGUGAUGAAGUCCAAGCCUACAUGGCAAACAAUUACACAAUACAGAUCAGCAUGUAUACACAUGCAAAUGAACAUUUCAAUAAGAAAUGAUGGCAAUGCAAUGACAUUAUUAUUACUUUGCUUUCAGAGCAUUGUAUUGUCUCUAAAGGAGAGAUCAACGGUCAAAUGUAAGUAUUUGUACAGUACUUCUAUAUGUUGACUAUACACACAACACUUCAAAAUCAUAGCCAUUUUUUGAACAAUAAAUCAUUCAGUUGAACACAAAGAACAUAAGAUAGAUAAGAUAAGAUGAGAUAAGAUAACUCUUUAUUGUCAUUGCACAGUCAUACAUAGUACAAUAGUACAAUGAAAUUGGAAAACUGUCCUACGUCGGCACUACAUGUAACACGACACGAUACGACACAACGCAACACAAACAACACAACCAACACAACCAACACAACACAGUAUAAUAACUUAGUAAUAAAAAAGAAUAAGUGUAUUUGUAUUGCACACUGUUAUUAUUGCACAUUAAUUAUUAUUGCACCUUGUUAUAAAUAUAAAUAUUAUUAUUAUUACUGUUUUUACCGUUGUUAACCCCCCCCCCAACAAAGUCCAGGUAGGUAGCCAGUCAGGUCAGCUAUUUGCAUUGAUCAGGGCUAUUGCCCUGUUGUAAAAGCUGUCCUUGAGUCUAUUUGUUGGAUCUAAACCAAAUUUUAAUGAAAAAUUAAAAUGACCACACAAAGUUUUAUCAGAAUACAUGUAAAGCUUUUUAAGCUAUCAUGUGUGCAGACAGAAUGACACACCCAUGCACACAGAAGCGUUACCAAAAACCCAACUUCCUUGGUGUAGAUAAAAAUUCCAAAAUGACAAUUUGCCUGGUGAAAAUCAGUACUGUAGCUGCGCAAAAUGUGGAGCUGCCUGGUAGAAGAACUGGUUUGUCUCAUUUGCCUAUAUCUCUUUUACUUUUCCUGAUUCAUUACUUUUCUCACUCUGACGCAGGGCUGUCCAUGCAACUGGAGAAACAGGCAGUUUGUCAGUUAAGAGUUAUGGUGUUGAAACUCUGGGCUUUUCGGUGAGGUGUGCAGAGGGGACUGUUCAAUGUGUCUCUGUCAAAAUGAGCCACUGUCCAUAAAACCUUCCCUAUUUCUCUCAUGGAUUUUGUCUUCUGGCUGUUUCUUUCUCUGCAUCUGUCUCCCUCUCUUAUGGGCGGGUUUUUAUGAUGUAGCCUCAGUCAUCCAUCUACAAAUUCAGGUAGUCUGGAACUUUGGCUUUCCGAAAGGGCAGUGUGGAAAAAAACAUUAGGCUUCAUGUAAAUGUUACGAGCCCCUUUAACACCUGUUAAUGUCAGCUGUAAAUGAUGUGAAAUGAUUUUGACAUUUAAAUAGAUUUCUGUUACAUAACAGAUUUAUCUUUCUCCAGGCA